This 497-nucleotide ribosomal RNA is filed under the name uncultured bacterium. Its description in RNAcentral is "partial 16S ribosomal RNA". It matches the Rfam family "Bacterial small subunit ribosomal RNA", at positions 28 to 507 of the family's 1533-position model. The record is from RNAcentral.
GAUGAACGCUGGCGGCGUGCCUAAUACAUGCAAGUCGAGCGAACGGACGAGAAGCUUGCUUUUCUGAUGUUAGCGGCGGACGGGUGAGUAACACGUGGAUAACCUACCUAUAAGACUGGGAUAACUUCGGGAAACCGGAGCUAAUACCGGCUAAUAUUUUGAACCGCAUGGUUCAAAAGUGAAAGACGGUCUUGCUGUCACUUAUAGAUGGAUCCGCGCUGCAUUAGCUAGUUGGUAAGGUAACGGCUUACCAAGGCAACGAUGCAUAGCCGACCUGAGAGGGUGAUCAGCCACACUGGAACUGAGACACGGUCCAGACUCCUACGGGAGGCAGCAGUGGGGAAUCUUCCACAAUGGGCGAAAGCCUGACGGAGCAACGCCGCGUGAGUGAUGAAGGUCUUCGGAUCGUAAAGCUCUGUUAUUAGGGAAGAACAGAUGUGUAUGUAACUGUGCACAUCUUGACGGUACCUAAUCAGAAAGCCACGGCUAACUACGUG